UUUAAAGUGGCAGAUUAAUUGCGAGGGAUUUAAGCUCCCUCUAUGAAUAUUUCCUUUAAAA
This 61-nucleotide transfer RNA is filed under the name Alectorobius rudis. Its description in RNAcentral is "tRNA-Leu". Lineage: Eukaryota; Metazoa; Arthropoda; Arachnida; Ixodida; Argasidae. The record is from RNAcentral.